This 398-nucleotide ribosomal RNA is filed under the name uncultured Sphingobacteriales bacterium. Its description in RNAcentral is "bacterial SSU rRNA". It matches the Rfam family "Bacterial small subunit ribosomal RNA", at positions 980 to 1382 of the family's 1533-position model. Lineage: Bacteria; Pseudomonadati; Bacteroidota; Sphingobacteriia; Sphingobacteriales. The record is from RNAcentral.
CAAAUAGUAUGUUGACGUAUUCUGAAAGGGAUACUUCUUCGGACAAUAUACAAGUGCUGCAUGGUUGUCGUCAGCUCGUGCCGUGAGGUGUCGGGUUAAGUCCCAUAACGAGCGCAACCCCUAUCAUUAGUUGCCAUCAGGUCAAGCUGGGGACUCUAAUGAAACUGCCUACGCAAGUAGUGAGGAAGGUGGGGAUGACGUCAAAUCAGCACGGCCCUUACGUCCAGGGCUACACACGUGCUACAAUGGCCGGUACAACGGGCAGCGAAGGAGCGAUCCGGAGCGAAUCCUAAAAAGCCGGUCCCAGCUCGGAUUGCAGGCUGAAACUCGCCUACAUGAAGUUGGAGUUGCUAGUAAUCGCGAAUCAGAAUGUCGCGGUGAAUGCGUUCCCGGGUCUU